UACAAUUUUUGACUCUUCGUCUUAUUAAAAAAAAUUUGCGACUGAUAUUUUUGUUUUUAUUAGAUAAUAAUUAUGAAUAGUACUUUACGUGUGACUAAUUUUUUUAAUUUCCUGAAAUUUUUUUUAAAUAAGACGGAUAGUCAAACGUUGGAUACGGAAACCGAAG
RNAcentral lists this microRNA precursor (166 nucleotides) under Oryza brachyantha (malo sina). RNAcentral describes it as "MIR812 microRNA precursor family". It matches the Rfam family "MIR812 microRNA precursor family", at positions 27 to 193 of the family's 205-position model. Lineage: Eukaryota; Viridiplantae; Streptophyta; Magnoliopsida; Poales; Poaceae. The record is from Rfam by way of RNAcentral.